AGCAUAUCAAUAAGCGGAGGAAAAGAAACUAACAAGGAUUCCCCUAGUAACGGCGAGUGAAGCGGGAAGAGCUCAAAUUUAAAAUCUGGCAGUGUAUUCUGUCCGAGUUGUAGUCUAGAGAAGCAUCAUCCGUGCUGGACCAUGUACAAGUCUCUUGGAACAGAGCGUCAUAGAGGGUGAGAAUCCCGUCCUUGACAUGGACUCCCAGUACUUUGUGUUGUGCUCUCAACGAGUCGAGUUGUUUGGGAAUGCAGCUCAAAAUGGGUGGUAAAUUCCAUCUAAAGCUAAAUAUUGGCGAGAGACCGAUAGCGAACAAGUACCGUGAGGGAAAGAUGAAAAGCACUUUGGAGAGAGAGUUAAACAGUACGUGAAAUUGUUGAAAUGGAAACGCUUGAAGUCAGUCGCGUUCUCUGGGAUUCAGCCUUGCUUUUGCUUGGUGCAUUUCCUAGUCUACGGGCCAGCAUGAAUUUUGACCGGUGGAAAAAGAUUUGGGGAAUGUGGCACCUUCGGGUGUGUUAUAGCCCCUUGUCAUAUACAUCGGUUGGGAUUGAGGUCUUAGUGCACGCUUCGGUUGUGCUUUGAUGCUGGCGUAAUGGCUUUAAACGACCCGUCUUGAAACACGGACCAAGGAGUCUAACAUGUCUGCAAGUGUUUGGGUGCAAAACCCGAGCGCGAAAUGAAAGUGAUAGUUGGGAACCUCUUUAGAGGGGCACCGACGCCCGGACCAGACCUUCUGUGACGGAUCCGAGGUAGAGCAUAUAUGUUGGGACCCGAAAGAUGGUGAACUAUGCCUGCAUAGGGUGAAGCCAGAGGAAACUCUGGUGGAGGCUCGUAGCGAUUCUGACGUGCAAAUCGAUCGUCAAAUGUGGGUAUAGGGGCGAAAGA
RNAcentral lists this ribosomal RNA (885 nucleotides) under Ceratobasidium sp. AG-V. Its description in RNAcentral is "eukaryotic LSU rRNA". It matches the Rfam family "Eukaryotic large subunit ribosomal RNA", at positions 37 to 930 of the family's 3401-position model. The record is from RNAcentral. Lineage: Eukaryota; Fungi; Basidiomycota; Agaricomycetes; Cantharellales; Ceratobasidiaceae.